UCGAGAAUCUUCCGCAAUGGACGAAAGUCUGACGGAGCGACGCCGCGUGGUGGAUGAAGUCUUUCGGGACGUAAACACCUUUUAUGAGGGAAGAAGUUUAUUGACAUUACCUCAUGAAUAAGGGGCUCCCAAUUCUGUGCCAGCAGGAGCGGUAAUACAGAAGCCUCAAGCGUUACCCGGAUUUACUGGGCGUAAAGGAUGUGUAGGUGGUGUGAUUAGUCGGGCGUUAAAUCCUGAGGCUUAACCUCAG
RNAcentral lists this ribosomal RNA (250 nucleotides) under uncultured bacterium. RNAcentral's name for it is "partial 16S ribosomal RNA". It matches the Rfam family "Bacterial small subunit ribosomal RNA", at positions 355 to 618 of the family's 1533-position model. The record is from RNAcentral.